RNAcentral lists this ribosomal RNA (1013 nucleotides) under Escherichia coli. Its description in RNAcentral is "partial 23S ribosomal RNA". It matches the Rfam family "Bacterial large subunit ribosomal RNA", at positions 165 to 1218 of the family's 2925-position model. Lineage: Bacteria; Pseudomonadati; Pseudomonadota; Gammaproteobacteria; Enterobacterales; Enterobacteriaceae. The record is from RNAcentral.
CAUAGGUUAAUGAGGCGAACCGGGGGAACUGAAACAUCUAAGUACCCCGAGGAAAAGAAAUCAACCGAGAUUCCCCCAGUAGCGGCGAGCGAACGGGGAGGAGCCCAGAGCCUGAAUCAGUGUGUGUGUUAGUGGAAGCGUCUGGAAAGGCGCGCGAUACAGGGUGACAGCCCCGUACACAAAAAUGCACAUGCUGUGAGCUCGAUGAGUAGGGCGGGACACGUGGUAUCCUGUCUGAAUAUGGGGGGACCAUCCUCCAAGGCUAAAUACUCCUGACUGACCGAUAGUGAACCAGUACCGUGAGGGAAAGGCGAAAAGAACCCCGGCGAGGGGAGUGAAAAAGAACCUGAAACCGUGUACGUACAAGCAGUGGGAGCACGCUUAGGCGUGUGACUGCGUACCUUUUGUAUAAUGGGUCAGCGACUUAUAUUCUGUAGCAAGGUUAACCGAAUAGGGGAGCCGAAGGGAAACCGAGUCUUAACUGGGCGUUAAGUUGCAGGGUAUAGACCCGAAACCCGGUGAUCUAGCCAUGGGCAGGUUGAAGGUUGGGUAACACUAACUGGAGGACCGAACCGACUAAUGUUGAAAAAUUAGCGGAUGACUUGUGGCUGGGGGUGAAAGGCCAAUCAAACCGGGAGAUAGCUGGUUCUCCCCGAAAGCUAUUUAGGUAGCGCCUCGUGAAUUCAUCUCCGGGGGUAGAGCACUGUUUCGGCAAGGGGGUCAUCCCGACUUACCAACCCGAUGCAAACUGCGAAUACCGGAGAAUGUUAUCACGGGAGACACACGGCGGGUGCUAACGUCCGUCGUGAAGAGGGAAACAACCCAGACCGCCAGCUAAGGUCCCAAAGUCAUGGUUAAGUGGGAAACGAUGUGGGAAGGCCCAGACAGCCAGGAUGUUGGCUUAGAAGCAGCCAUCAUUUAAAGAAAGCGUAAUAGCUCACUGGUCGAGUCGGCCUGCGCGGAAGAUGUAACGGGGCUAAACCAUGCACCGAAGCUGCGGCAGCGACACUAUG